AUUGAACGCUGGCGGCAGGCCUAACACAUGCAAGUCGAACGGUAACAGGAAACAGCUUGCUGUUUCGCUGACGAGUGGCGGACGGGUGAGGAAUGUCUGGGAAACUGCCUGAUGGAGGGGGAUAACUACUGGAAACGGUAGCUAAUACCGCAUAACGUCGCAAGACCAAAGAGGGGGACCCUCGGGCCUCUUGCCAUCGGAUGUGCCCAGAUGGGAUUAGCUUGUUGGUGGGGUAACGGCUCACCAAGGCGACGAUCCCUAGCUGGUCUGAGAGGAUGACCAGCCACACUGGAACUGAGACACGGUCCAGACUCCUACGGGAGGCAGCAGUGGGGAAUAUUGCACAAUGGGCGCAAGCCUGAUGCAGCCAUGCCGCGUGUAUGAAGAAGGCCUUCGGGUUGUAAAGUACUUUCAGCGGGGAGGAAGGGAGUAAAGUUAAUACCUUUGCUCAUUGACGUUACCCGCAGAAGAAGCACCGGCUAACUCCAUG
This 490-nucleotide ribosomal RNA is filed under the name uncultured bacterium. RNAcentral describes it as "partial 16S ribosomal RNA". It matches the Rfam family "Bacterial small subunit ribosomal RNA", at positions 30 to 507 of the family's 1533-position model. The record is from RNAcentral.